GACGUGUCCGCCAUUCGUCUCGACCGGUGCUUCGUAUCGCAUCAGUCUUGUCGAAUGGUGGGUGCGUU
Molecule: microRNA precursor, 68 nt
Filed under: Operophtera brumata (winter moth)
Lineage: Eukaryota; Metazoa; Arthropoda; Insecta; Lepidoptera; Geometridae
Description: mir-2766 microRNA precursor family
Rfam family: mir-2766 microRNA precursor family
Source: Rfam by way of RNAcentral